Oncorhynchus tshawytscha (Chinook salmon) is the source of this 1448-nucleotide long non-coding RNA. NCBI's taxonomy places the organism in Eukaryota, Metazoa, Chordata, Actinopteri, Salmoniformes, Salmonidae. The record is from Ensembl.
GCCGUUGCCAAUCCCUUUUUCUUUUUCUGGUUGUUUUGUCUGUGUUCCUUUUCACACCUGGUUUCAGUUGCUUUGAUUUCUGUGGGUAUAUAGGGCACCUGUUACCUGCCGUAAUUCGUGCAGGAUUAGACUUGUGUGCAUUGCGCUCGAUUGUAUUUGAUGUUUGUUGUUUUUUCGCUAUUACGCACGUGUAUGUAAAGUGUCGGAACUGUAUUUGUUCCUCCGUGCGUUUGCACGAGUUUCUGAUUAUUCGAGAGCGUAGUUUUGGGGUUUUGGUCUGUGCCGUUUUUGUAUUGCUGGACUAUAUUAUUAAACACGCUUCUCAGACAUCCCUGCUCUCUCCUGCGCCUGACUCCUACACCUCUCACCAAGACGCAUGUUAUCACACGAAGACACAAUCAUCAUGGUCAAUGAAAAUGUAACAGAGUACAAGGGAACAGCAAUGAGAAGCCUGGACAUCCUGAAUGCAUCCCGAUUGACAUACUGAAUACUGAAUGACAGCCAUCCCUGAACAGUCACCACUCCAGAUUCGAGAGCAGAUCUAUCUGCUGCCUUCGACACCGUGAACCAUCACAUCCUCCUCUCUACCCUCUCAUGGCUGGUUGUCUCAGGCUCUGCACACUCUUGGCUUGCAUCCUACCUGGCAGGCCGCUCCUACCAGGUGACGUGGAGAGGAUCUGUGUCUGCGCCACAUACUAUCACUACUGGUAUCCCUCAGGGCUCUCCUCUUCUCUCUAUUAGAGGUCGACCGAUUAUGAUUUUUCAACGCCGAUACCGAUUAUUGGGGGGCAAAAAAGGCGAUACCGAUUAAUCGGACGAUUUUUAAAAAAUGUAUAUAUAUACACACAUUUUUGUAAUAAUGACAAUUGCAACAAUACUGAAUGAACAAUGAACACUUUUAUUUUAACUUAAUAUAAUACAUAUUAUGGGCUUUUGGGUGGGUGUUCUUAAGGUGAUUCCACAGGUUGGUGGUAUUUUUUGAUUUAGCCGUUGCUGACCCCAUGCUUACAUCUUUAUCACAAAUAAGACACCUUGCUUUCCCUGGUGCCAAUUCCAUGUAACAGUCCCACACUGGUGCUCUGCUUUUCUCUGCCAUCUGUAAAACACAACCACAGCUCUGAAGUGACAAUGAUACUGAAGAGUCUGCUUAGGAGACAAAUACUCUCAACUGUUUGAAUAAAAAUAGAGUUUAAGUUACCUGUGAUGAAUGUUGAAAACAAACACUGUCAUUUCUACAUGCAGGAAAUCCUAUUUUAAUAAUGGACAUGGUAAGAAUUGACUACCUAAGUGCGAGUCAUAAUUCCCAGGACACCUUCAAGCAAAAUCUGAAAAGCGGUUCCUUCAUUCAUUUAUUCCAUAGGAUAUUUUUAGAUUAACUUAAAAUAAGGUUUGUGUUUCAUGUAGGCUUACACCACCUUGACAAUUUUAUAACGGUGUAGAUAUCCAUA